CGCGGAGCUCCAGUGGUGGGCACUGCCACCUUGCCAUCCCUAGCCCCCACCGCCCUUCGCAGAGUCCAGUCCGGUUUUCUGGGUUUGCCAGCGCAUCGCUGCAACUAAUGAUUAAAGAAACCAAACCGAAACUUACCUUUCUCCCUUAAGGUUUUUGUGUAUGUGUGUUUUUAAAGUAACGGUGCAGUUCUCCCAAUAAGGAUGAGCAAGAAGCUGCUGGAUAGUUCUCUUAAGACAGCACGAAACCUAAACUGUGCUCGGCUUAAAAGAAGCAAAUAAAAAGAAACGCUUUCGACCCCAAAGUCCAAUGCUAAAAGAAAUGGCGAAAAAAAAAUAUGAAAGGGGAGGGGAAACUUAAAAAAGAGUUUAAAAAGACGGAGAGACUACCCUCCUAUUGCCGUUCAACUAAACAAAAAGGGGCAAGAAAAACAAACCAAGGAACAAAGAAAAGAGACGAAAGAACGUUUUUUCAAAAAGACGAUGUCUUUCUCCUUGUUGCUUUUUAGUAGGUCGCUACAGGAGUAAGCUGCUGCAUCCCUAACUGAGAACAGAAAUAGGGGGGAGGACGUCUUAAAAGGGAGGUGGACUGGACCACAGAUUUAUAGCACCGUAUCACCAACCCCUUCUCUGCCUCCGCACUGCCGUGUGUGCAGCUGCUCUGCCAGGCUCCUAUCCCGGGCAGCACGCGCGGAAGUAUACGCCGAAUCGCGCCACAACGUAACUUGCUCAUCGCCCCAGGAUCCUGAUUGGUCCAGACGCUUCCAUUGAGGCCGCCCAGGCGGGGCCGCGUGAGACGAUUGGCUAUGGGCUUGUGUCACUCUCGAGAGCUCAAUGGAGUCCCGUUUCAAGUAGUAUGUGGACCUGCCUUUCACCGAAAGGGGGGAAAAGUUGUGAAAAUUGACACCAGUGUGAAUUUAUACCGUGGCAACCACGCAAGAGAAAGAGGCAGGAAUUAGCACCAUGGACAGAGACGAGCAGCCCUCAAAUUAAGAUUUGCAAAGCUUGAGACGGUGUUUUCUGUCCCUUUCUGUGAGACACGGAAACUGCGUGUCUUGGGAAUGUUUUAUUCCACGGGACUUUGCGGAAAAGACUGUCCUACUCCACAGAAACUCAUUUAUUUUGAAUUAGGCUGGCAUUUCUUAAGACUCAGCCAUCGUGACAAACUGUCAGGAGAGUUAGAGCCCCGAACUCGCUGUGCACCUUCCACUGUCCUGUUUUACAUACACUCCCUUGCCGGCGUGAGCUCGCCUUUCUUCAGAGUGUUCAUGAAAAAUAAAUGCAAAUCCAGGUAGUCUUCGAAAAGUCUGGUAAACCUGCUCUAGAGUUUUUAAUCCUCGAAUAUCCCAGCUGGAAUUGCAGCAAAACUGCCUACCUGCUUACCCUUGCUCC
This is a long non-coding RNA of Gorilla gorilla gorilla (western lowland gorilla), 1389 nucleotides long. RefSeq lists it as uncharacterized. The transcript has 3 exons. NCBI's taxonomy places the organism in Eukaryota, Metazoa, Chordata, Mammalia, Primates, Hominidae. The record is from RefSeq and is a predicted model, not a curated record.